GGGGGUGAAAGGAUCUCGACGGGGAAUUUGAAGCAUGAUAAGCGGGUAGUGAUGCAGGGUCACUUUAAACACUGCAAACUUAAAAUAAACGACAAUAAUACUGUUUUAAAGGCUGCUUGAUGCGGCCCGUCCUGCCUUUGAGUACCGCGGCUUAGGUUUGGGCGUCGACCAGCGGUGAACGUGAACGCGGAAGUAGCUUUGUACCGCGUCAUGAUUUAAAAGCUACCGAGCCCGGAAGGUUGCCGAUCAUCGCCCGGGCAAGGGAACGCAAACGACCGGCUGCACCCGGAGAAGAUCACGUGAAUGAUUUUUCGGACGCGGGUUCGAUUCCCGCCACCUCCACCA
RNAcentral lists this transfer-messenger RNA (345 nucleotides) under bovine gut metagenome. It matches the Rfam family "transfer-messenger RNA". Rfam says of the family: Bacterial tmRNA, also known as 10Sa RNA or SsrA, is named for its dual tRNA and mRNA-like properties. Its role is to liberate the mRNA from a stalled ribosome. The record is from RNAcentral.